GCCGCGGUAAUACGUAGGGUGCAAGCGUUAAUCGGAAUUACUGGGCGUAAAGCGUGCGCAGGCGGUGCUGUAAGACAGGCGUGAAAUCCCCGGGCUCAACCUGGGAAUUGCGCUUGUGACUGCAGUGCUGGAGUGCGGCAGAGGGGGAUGGAAUUCCGCGUGUAGCAGUGAAAUGCGUAGAGAUGCGGAGGAACACCGAUGGCGAAGGCAGCCUCCUGGGAUGACACUGACGCUCAUGCACGAAAGCGUGGGGAGCAAACAG
RNAcentral lists this ribosomal RNA (262 nucleotides) under uncultured bacterium. RNAcentral describes it as "partial 16S ribosomal RNA". It matches the Rfam family "Bacterial small subunit ribosomal RNA", at positions 514 to 775 of the family's 1533-position model. The record is from RNAcentral.